Non-coding RNA from Salmo salar (Atlantic salmon), 54 nucleotides. Lineage: Eukaryota; Metazoa; Chordata; Actinopteri; Salmoniformes; Salmonidae. The record is from Rfam.
CAUAUAAAUAUAUGUAAGUCGCUCUGGAUAAAAGCGUCUGCUAAAUGACGUAAA